CCCCUAGAUGUUCUGGGCCGCACGCGCGCUACACUGAACAGUUCAACAAGUCUUAACCUUGGCCGAUAGGUCUGGGUAAUCUUUGAACGCUGUUCGUGAUUGGGAUAGACCUUUGCAAUUAUGGGUCUUCAACGAAGAAUUCCUAGUAAACGCAAGUCAUCAGCUUGCAUUGAUUACGUCCCUGCCCUUUGUACACACCGCCCGUCGCACCUACCGAUUGAAUGGUCCGGUGAAAUCUCGGGACGGCGGCUUGGUCGCUUGCGUCCGACUGCUGAAACUUGAUUAAACCAUAUCAUUUAGAGGAAGGUGAAGUCGUANCA
This 320-nucleotide ribosomal RNA is filed under the name uncultured eukaryote. Its description in RNAcentral is "partial 18S ribosomal RNA". It matches the Rfam family "Eukaryotic small subunit ribosomal RNA", at positions 1470 to 1796 of the family's 1831-position model. The record is from RNAcentral.